CAGGAUGAACGUUGGCUGUGUGCCUAAGGUAUGCAAGUCGAACGAUCCCUUUGAACUACUUGAGACUUCGGUUGAUUGUUUUUCUUUUUGGGAUAGUGGCAAACGGGUGAGUAACACGUGGAUAACCUACCUCGAAGUCAUGAACAGCUCAUCGAAAGAUGGGAUAAUACAUGAUGGUCUUAUAUUUUCUUUAUGAUUUUAUAAGUAAAGCUUUUGCGCUUUGAGAGGGGUCCGCGUCCUAUCAGCUUGUUGGUGAGGUAAUGGCUCACCAAGGCUAAGACGGGUAGCUGGCGUGAGAGCGCGGUCAGCCACCAUGGAACUGAGACACGGUCCAUACUCCUACGGGAGGCAGCAAUUAGGAAUCUUGCGCAAUGGGGGCAACCCUGACGCAGCGACACAGCGUGGAGGACGAAGGUCUUAGGAUUGUAAACUCCUUUUAUAUGGGAAGAAUAGAUGACGGUACCAUAUGAAUAAGCACCUGCUAACUACGUGCCAGAAGCAUCGGUGAUGCGUAGGGUGCAAACGUUAUCCGGAUUUAUUGGGCGUAUAGAGAUGCGUAGGCGUUUUUGUAAGUCUUUAGUUAAAUAUCACGGCUCAACCGUGGACAAGCUUUGGAUACUGCAAGAAUUGAGACAGGAAGAGGCGAACAGAAUUCCCAGUGGAGCGGUGAAAUGCGUUGAUAUUGGGAGGAAUAUCAGUGGCGAAGGCGGUUCGCUGGUCCUUGUCUGACGCUAAGGCUCGAAAGCGUGGGUAGCAAAACGGAUUAGAUACCCGUGUAGUCCACGCCGUAAACUAUGGAUGCUAGGUGUUCGGUACAACUAUUUUUUCCUUCGGGAAAUGAUGGAAGUAUUGAGUACCGCAGUUAACACGUUAAGCAUCCCGCCUGGGAAGUACG
This 895-nucleotide ribosomal RNA is filed under the name uncultured candidate division WS6 bacterium. Its description in RNAcentral is "bacterial SSU rRNA". It matches the Rfam family "Bacterial small subunit ribosomal RNA", at positions 25 to 884 of the family's 1533-position model. The record is from RNAcentral.